This is a long non-coding RNA of Erinaceus europaeus (western European hedgehog), 312 nucleotides long. RefSeq lists it as uncharacterized. The record is from RefSeq and is a predicted model, not a curated record. NCBI's taxonomy places the organism in Eukaryota, Metazoa, Chordata, Mammalia, Eulipotyphla, Erinaceidae. The transcript is spliced from 2 exons.
UCUCUUGGCAGUCACAGCCUUGGGACUUAGGGCGACUGUUGGCUCCCCAACUCUGGCAGUUUGGCCUUGGCGGUUGAAAGACCAGUGUGCUGUUUUUAAACCCAGACCAUAGGUGGGGAGAGUGAGGCUCCGAAACCUAUUAAAUCUGUACAUCUUUUAAAAAGCCGCCAACACAGAUGAGGAUGCACUAAGAUGAGCAUUUAUUCUUCUCUUGCUGGUGGAAGUUUAGAAUGUUCUAUCUCUUUGGAAAAUAAUUUGGGGAAUAUGGGUCACAAAUAUGAAAAUAAAUGGUUACUAACUCUGAUCCAUGAA